CUACGGGUCGCUCCAGUGAGGAAUAUUGCACAAUGGGGGGAACCCUGAUGCAGCAACGCCGCGUGGAGGAUGACGCAUUUCGGUGUGUAAACUCCUUUUAUAUGUCAAGAAAAUGACGGUAGCAUAUGAAUAAGCACCGGCUAACUCCGUGCCAGCAGCCGCAGUAAUACGGAGGGUGCAAGCGUUACUCGGAAUCACUGGGCGUAAAGGACGCGUAGGCGGGUCGGAAAGUCAGGUGUGAAAUCCUACAGCUUAACUGUAGAACUGCACUUGAAACUUCUAAUCUAGAGUAUGGGAGGGGGAGAUGGAAUUAGUGGUGUAGGGGUAAAAUCCGUAGAUAUCACUAGGAAUACCUAAAGCGAAGGCGAUCUCCUGGAACAUUACUGACGCUAAGGCGUGAAAGCGUGGGGAGCAAACAGGAUUAGAUACCCUCGUAGUC
This 439-nucleotide ribosomal RNA is filed under the name uncultured bacterium. RNAcentral's name for it is "partial 16S ribosomal RNA". It matches the Rfam family "Bacterial small subunit ribosomal RNA", at positions 339 to 795 of the family's 1533-position model. The record is from RNAcentral.